AAGGAGACUUCUUUAGUACCGCAGCUAACGCGUGAAGUUCGCCGCCUGGGGAGUACGGUCGCAAGAUUAAAACUCAAAGGAAUUGACGGGGACCCGCACAAGCGGUGGAUGAUGUGGAUUAAUUCGAUGCAACGCGAAAAACCUUACCUACCCUUGACAUGCCUGGAAUCCUGAAGAGAUUUGGGAGUGCCCGAAAGGGAACCGGGACACAGGUGCUGCAUGGCUGUCGUCAGCUCGUGUCGUGAGAUGUUGGGUUAAGUCCCGCAACGAGCGCAACCCUUGUCGCUAAUUGCCAUCAUUUAGUUGGGCACUUUAGCGAGAUUGCCGGUGACAAACCGGAGGAAGGUGGGGAUGACGUCAAGUCCUCAUGGCCCUUAUGGGUAGGGCUUCACACGUCAUACAAUGGUCGGUACAGAGGGUCGCCAACCCGCGAGGGGGAGCCAAUCCCAGAAAGCCGAUCGUAGUCCGGAUUGGAGUCUGCAACUCGACUCCAUGAAGUCGGAAUCGCUAGUAAUCGUGGAUCAGCAUGCCACGGUGAAUACGUUCCCGGGUCUUGUACACACCGCCCGUCACACCAUGGGAGUGGGUUUCACCAGAAGUAGUUAGCCUAACCGCAAGGGGGGCGAUUACCACGC
RNAcentral lists this ribosomal RNA (635 nucleotides) under uncultured bacterium. RNAcentral describes it as "bacterial SSU rRNA". It matches the Rfam family "Bacterial small subunit ribosomal RNA", at positions 826 to 1462 of the family's 1533-position model. The record is from RNAcentral.